This 253-nucleotide ribosomal RNA is filed under the name uncultured bacterium. Its description in RNAcentral is "partial 16S ribosomal RNA". It matches the Rfam family "Bacterial small subunit ribosomal RNA", at positions 524 to 776 of the family's 1533-position model. The record is from RNAcentral.
UACGUAGGUGGCAAGCGUUAUCCGGAUUUAUUGGGCGUAAAGGGAACGCAGGCGGUCUUUUACGUCUGAUGUGAAAGCCUUCGGCUUAACCGGAGUAGUGCAUUGGAAACUGGGAGACUUGAGUGCAGAAGAGGAGAGUGGAACUCCAUGUGUAGCGGUGAAAUGCGUAGAUAUAUGGAAGAACACCAGUGGCGAAAGCGGCUCUCUGGUCUGUAACUGACGCUGAGGUUCGAAAGCGUGGGUAGCAAACAGG